GAGUUUGAUCAUAGGCNCAGGAUGAACGCUAGCUACAGGCUUAACACAUGCAAGUCGAGGGGAAACGACAUCGAAAGCUUGCUUUUGAUGGGCGUCGACCGGCGCACGGGUGAGUAACGCGUAUCCAACCUGCCCACCACUUGGGGAUAACCUUGCGAAAGUAAGACUAAUACCCAAUGAUAUCUCUAGAAGACAUCUGAAAGAGAUUAAAGAUUUAUCGGUGAUGGAUGGGGAUGCGUCUGAUUAGCUUGUUGGCGGGGUAACGGCCCACCAAGGCGACGAUCAGUAGGGGUUCUGAGAGGAAGGCCCCCACAUUGGAACUGAGACACGGUCCAAACUCCUACGGGAGGCAGCA
This 355-nucleotide ribosomal RNA is filed under the name uncultured bacterium. RNAcentral describes it as "bacterial SSU rRNA". It matches the Rfam family "Bacterial small subunit ribosomal RNA", at positions 9 to 353 of the family's 1533-position model. The record is from RNAcentral.